Molecule: long non-coding RNA, 708 nt
Filed under: Musa acuminata (dwarf banana)
Lineage: Eukaryota; Viridiplantae; Streptophyta; Magnoliopsida; Zingiberales; Musaceae
Description: long non-coding RNA (MACU_LNC000788)
Source: RNAcentral
AAGUCUUAUGUUUUUCCAUCAUCCAGUUUUUUCACCAACUCAAUUUAAUAUGCUAAUCUUUUUCCAACAAUAAUAAACACAUAUUGGCAUCAGAUGUGAAGAUUCCUAGGACUUACUGAAACCCAUAGUUACAUCAGCCAGCCUCGAUUUAGUUUCCUACAGAUGCCCUCCGUGAGCUACAACCAGAAUCAGUUCCAGGAUGGUCCUUUUAAGAAGAUAAAUGAUCUUCUUUGAUCUACAUCUUACCAGGCAAUAGUAACAAACAAAUAUAUAACUAUUGUAGACAUGACAUUGCAUACACUGGAAGAAUCCGUUUGUUCAAACAUUAACAUUGGCAUUUCCGCAAGCAAGUAAUAUGCAAGAAAGAUAGAGAAGUUUCCUACGCAUCACGCAGCGCAUAUGUACGAAUAUUCUUCCCAGCAUAAUUUUGGAACUUGAGAAACGACUUUUUUGAUUUAGUAGAUGGAACCCUCAGGAUUUUGAGAAGCAAAAGCAAUUACCAGCUACAGGGAGAGAGAUGCCGUAGGGAAGUCUUUGAACCUGUUUUGUUCUCCAUAUAAAUCUCCUCGUCGAAGAAGUUGGACACUUUGGAUUGCGAUGACACGAGCAAACAAGCUUAUUUAUCAGAUGCGACGUAGGACAUUCGUGUGGCAUCUUAGCGGCACAAAACCAGGCUAAGACGAAGGGGGAAGAGUCGUAGUUUUUGUA